Molecule: long non-coding RNA, 335 nt
Filed under: Homo sapiens (human)
Lineage: Eukaryota; Metazoa; Chordata; Mammalia; Primates; Hominidae
Description: non-protein coding lnc-RNMT-2:4
Source: RNAcentral
UUCCUCUCUCCAGAGGACCUUUCCUGCCUAGGACUCAUGAUUGUCCCCUCCCUGCUGUUGCCUAGUUUCCUGGUAUUAAGGAGAAUCAACUCUCUGGAUAAACGUGGUAAAUAUGGCCCAUAGUCCCAUCUUUUUACAGGCAUUUUUUACACCUGGAGCAGCCAGAGGACGCAUGCAUGGCUCUUCGGAAGGUAAUUUAGGGAUCACCCAUGUAAGUUUCCUAAGGAUUUCUUUAACAUGGUUCUUCUGAUUCAGUCCGGCCAAUUAAAUCUAAAUCCACCCCUGAAAGCCAUCUGGUGUGGAUAACAAGCCCACAAAUGAGCAGUCAGCUUUUU